Non-coding RNA from Macaca mulatta (Rhesus monkey), 2606 nucleotides. The record is from RefSeq and is a predicted model, not a curated record. NCBI's taxonomy places the organism in Eukaryota, Metazoa, Chordata, Mammalia, Primates, Cercopithecidae.
CCCAGGGUGUCCCAGGCUUCAUGAUAGUAGGGCCUGCUUGUGCCAUGGCGGCCUCAGGAUGGUGGCACUGCCCCAGGGUGUCCCAGGCUCCAAGGCCAGUGUUCCGUCCAGCGAAGGGAAGUUGUACUGUAAGGUCUAGUCUCGGAAGGUGCCUGGGGUCCUAUCCUUCAGAGCGGUCCUGCACUCACCACAAAUCAAGCCAGGGGAGGCCCUGCCAGAAUUUGCAGCUGUGUUUCAGGUCAUUCCACAAGGCCUCUUUUAUUUUGGGCUAGUCAGGUAUAUAAUUCUUAUUCUCUGGUUUUUUUGAGACAGGCAAAAAAAAAAAAAAAAAACCUUCUUGUUGCCCAGGCAGUGGUGUGAGCACAGCUUACUACAGCCUCAACCUCCCAGGCUCAAGUGAUCUUCCUGCUCAGUCUCCUGAGUAGCCAGGACCCACAGGCACAUGUUCCAUGUGUCCCCAUGCCUGACUUAGUUUUGUAUUUUUUGUAGAGAUGGAGUUUUGCAAUGUUGCCCAGGCUGGACUUGAACUCCUGGACUUAAGCAGUCCAGCUGUCUCAGCCACCCAAAGUACUGAGAUCACAGGCAUGAGCCACCGUGCCUGGCCAAGUGUGUUUCUAAUUUCAAAAUUAAGAGGACCCAGAGUCAGUUAAUGACGUCUCUACUGGAACAUGCUGCUUAUAGUACAUUAGGAAAAAUCAUCCAGAACUUGGAAAAGGGCCUGGACAGACACAGCCCUUCGAGGUUGUCCGAUGAACCCCUGGGGUCUUUAACCAUCUGGAGGGAUGUACCAUGUCAGACUCACUGUUGUCGACCGGCUGAAGCCCAGGUUUCAUGAGGUUAUGUGUCAGCUUGUAGUACUUUCUCUGGCAGAGAUGCGAGUGACUUCGCUCAGUGAGAGGCUCAUCUCAGGGACUUCAUGGCCUGAGGGACGGCAGCCUGUUUGAGCUGAUCGAGCAAUCUCGCGCUACCCUUAUUUUCUGAAACGCCUAUGAGUGACUUCUCACACGGUCUUUGAAGCGGCUUCAUGCCCGCGCUCCUUGGUAAUGAUCGAAUGCUUUUUUUGACCCCUCAUCCCUUUCUUUGGGGUGUUCCAGUCUCAGUUCUCAUGAUGUGUUCUGCUUCUGCAGGAAUUUCUGAAGCUGCUGAGUGUAGAAAGCACUGAGGAGGCUGUGCUCCCACCCCUGUGAGUCUUCCAGGCAUCAUCCUCUCCCCUUGGCGAGGCGGCGUCCAUGGCACACCGAGGAGGCUGUGCUCCUGUCCCCCAUUUCUUUGCAUCGUCUCCCUUAUCCAGAAGUGAGGGUGAACGCUGAGUUAUUCACGGGAGUCAAGAAACCACACGCAGCCCAAAGUGACGUUUGUUUCCCUGAAAUGAUUUGUGUGUGUUCACCUUAAAAUGCAACUCAGUAAAACAGGUGUCUUUUGAGGAAUGACUUUAAAUUACUCAGGUAAAAAUGUGACAGUUAAAUUUCAUCAUCUGUGCGGGUGUCCACAACCCCCUUCUGUGAUUGCGUGUGAGUUUGUGACUUGUGGUUAUUUUUGAAGAAAGAAAAUCUGUUGUUGAGGACUUCAGAUGGUGUGCUGGGAUUGUGUAGGGUGGACAUCGGGGGCUUCAGUGUGUGGCUUCCUUGAAGAGGUUCAAAUUAAGGCUGAGAGUCCCUACUCCAAAAUGCUCCGAAACCUGAAACAUUCCGAGCUUCCUCAUGACACUCGAAGGAAAUGCUCUUCGGAGCACUUUGGAUUUCAGGCUGGGGAUGCUCAACUGGAAAGUGAAAUAUUGCAAGACCCUUCUGGCCCCAGGAGCUUGGAUAAGGUCAUGGAGGGGGCCUGUGCCGGGUGUCCCUGGAGUGUGAGGCAGCCUGGGCUCUCUGAACUGGUUUUUGUAGGAGCCACAGAAGGGAAAGAGGCUCAAAGUGGCCACGCCUGGCUCCUGAGAAGGCUGGACCAGAAGGAGGUGGGCGCAGAGGGCAGCAGUAGAGUCCCCAGCGUCCGGGGCUCCUGUCCCUGGUGGAGUUGAGAGCCUCCUCUAGUUGUGGCCUCUCCCCUGUCAGCAGCCACUGAGGCCUGAAGGGAGAGGGGGCUGAGGAGAGGAGGAAGGAUAGGCCUACUUCUGGAGAGGGCCAGCAUCUGCCUGUGCUAGCCUCGUGUGUUACUCCUGCAUCCAGGGUGCACGGCCAUGCCUCGUGGUGUAGCGGUUCCCGGGAUGCACAGCGCUCUUGUCUGCAGUAACAGCUUUGUCUCCGACCCUUGGAGGCAAGUUACCUUUUUCCCCAGUGAAAAGAGGUAGAAAAUCUUACAGAAAUGCAUUUGCUCUAAUGUCUAUUUUCCGAUAAGACAUGGUCGCUUAGGCUAAAUCUUUGGGAGGUCAAGGCAGGAGGAUCACUUGAGGCCAAGGGGUUCAAGACCAGCCUGGACAACAUAGCAAGACCCCCAUCUGUAUAACAGAAAAGUUAGCUGAGUGUGGUGGUGCGUGCCUGUGGUGCCUGCUACUCUGGAGGCUGAGGUGGGAAGAUCACUUAAGGCUACAGUGAGCUGCUAUUGCUCCACUCUACUCCAAUCUUGGCAACAGAGCCGAGACCCAGUCUCAGAAAGAAAAGUAAAAAAAAAAA